This 497-nucleotide ribosomal RNA is filed under the name uncultured bacterium. RNAcentral describes it as "partial 16S ribosomal RNA". It matches the Rfam family "Bacterial small subunit ribosomal RNA", at positions 28 to 507 of the family's 1533-position model. The record is from RNAcentral.
GAUGAACGCUGGCGGCGUGCCUAAUACAUGCAAGUCGAGCGAACAGACGAGGAGCUUGCUCCUCUGACGUUAGCGGCGGACGGGUGAUUAACACGUGGAUAACCUACCUAUAAGACUGGGAUAACUUCGGGAAACCGGAGCUAACACCGGAUAAUAUAUUGAACCGCAUGGUUCAAUAGUGAAAGACGGUUUUGCUGUCACUUAUAGAUGGAUCCGCGCCGCAUUAGCUAGUUGGUAAGGUAACGGCUUACCAAGGCGACGAUGCGUAGCCGACCUGAGAGGGUGAUCGGCCACACUGGAACUGAGACACGGUCCAGACUCCUACGGGAGGCAGCAGUAGGGAAUCUUCCGCAAUGGGCGAAAGCCUGACGGAGCAACGCCGCGUGAGUGAUGAAGGUCUUCGGAUCGUAAAACUCUGUUAUUAGGGAAGAACAAAUGUGUAAGUAACUAUGCACGUCUUGACGGUACCUAAUCAGAAAGCCACGGCUAACUACGUG